GCAUAGGUAGCUAAGUGUCCUAAAGCUCUCACUGCAACUCUCUGUUCAACCCAAGUUAGCCUACCUCUCAAGAGUUCAACUAAAGGAGGGAUGAUUCCAGCACGCACAGCUCUAUCAGCAAAUUCUUCCAUAUUCAUGGUAUAUGAUCCAAUUAUAUGUGCUGCAUAAUAAGGAAUAUAUAUAUUUUGGUCAUGUGAAAGCCACCGGCGGUUCUUUAAACCCUUCCAAAUAAGUGCUGACAUGCAUUCAAAAAUCCCCAAUUCAAUAAACUCCGGAUCGUUAGGAUGUGCCAUGGCUGUGUUCCAUAGGCCACUGAUGGGAAGAACUUGACCAUCAUCAUCCUGUGAAGGAAGU
RNAcentral lists this unclassified non-coding RNA (354 nucleotides) under Hevea brasiliensis (rubber tree). Lineage: Eukaryota; Viridiplantae; Streptophyta; Magnoliopsida; Malpighiales; Euphorbiaceae. The record is from RNAcentral.